This 253-nucleotide ribosomal RNA is filed under the name uncultured bacterium. Its description in RNAcentral is "partial 16S ribosomal RNA". It matches the Rfam family "Bacterial small subunit ribosomal RNA", at positions 524 to 776 of the family's 1533-position model. The record is from RNAcentral.
UACGUAGGGGGCAAGCGUUGUCCGGAAUCAUUGGGCGUAAAGAGCGUGUAGGCGGCUCGAUAAGUCUGCUGUGAAAGUCCAGGGCUCAACCCUGGAAGGCCGGUGGAAACUGUCGGGCUAGAGUCCGGAAGAGGCGAGUGGAAUUCCCGGUGUAGCGGUGAAAUGCGCAGAUAUCGGGAGGAACACCAAUGGCGAGGGCAGGUCUCUGGGCCACUACUGACGCUGAGAAGCGAAAGCAUGGGGAGCGAACAGG